GCGCAAGUGAAAUACCAC
This 18-nucleotide small nuclear RNA is filed under the name Arabidopsis thaliana (thale cress). RNAcentral describes it as "snRNA_09201". The record is from RNAcentral. Lineage: Eukaryota; Viridiplantae; Streptophyta; Magnoliopsida; Brassicales; Brassicaceae.